Molecule: long non-coding RNA, 321 nt
Organism: Pipra filicauda (Wire-tailed manakin)
Lineage: Eukaryota; Metazoa; Chordata; Aves; Passeriformes; Pipridae
Exons: 2
Source: RefSeq, a predicted model, not a curated record
GAGAUAAUACAUCUUUUUAUUUAAUUUGUCCUCUUUGAUGUUCCCAGGCAACCUAAUGUGUUGAAGCCUGAAGAAAAGGUUUAUUCUGUAGUAGAACAAAGAUAGAAAAACUGCUUGAACAGGUUGCAAAGGAAUCAGCGGUUAAGAGAAGGUUGGACACCUUGCUCCUGACAAGUGAACUGCCAAGGGGAUGAGGACUAUAGAGAUACGAAUGACUAGAAAUUUGCUCAGUUAUUGCCACAGUUUCAAAAGAUUUCAUGUGUCACCUUGAAUGUUUUGAUCCCAUCAAUCAGUGAUAUCAAUAAAUCAUUUAAUUUUACA